RNAcentral lists this microRNA precursor (103 nucleotides) under Marmota monax (woodchuck). Lineage: Eukaryota; Metazoa; Chordata; Mammalia; Rodentia; Sciuridae. The record is from RNAcentral.
GGUGGAAUAACUGGGUCAAAUGGUGGCUCCAUUUCUAGUUUUUUGAGGAAUUUCCAUACUGCUUUCUGGAGUAGUCGCACUAAUUUGCAGUCCCACCAGCAAU